AUGUGCAUGGAUUCAUCCUUCAUGUUUUUUUUUAUAUCCCUGACACAUAACACUGAUCUCUCUUUCUCUCUCUCUCACACACACACACACACACACACUUCACCUCUCUCACAUACAUGUACUCCACUGGCCCCACACAAAACACAUGGAAUAUAUUUAAUGAUAUACACUGAGAGCUCUUGCACAAUAACUUGUUUGAGCAACCACACAAUUGACUUACUAUGUUUCUGUUCGUGGCAAAUCUUUGUAUCCUUCUAUAUUAAUACACAUAAUAUUUAUCAUGUUUUACAGUAUCCUACACAUCUGCAGUCCAAACCUGAUCCAGAACAGUUCUGCCGUGAUGGGGGGGGUUUGAAUGUUCUCUCUUACACUUCACCUAGAGAACCACAUGAGCCAUGCAGUGGAGCAUGGAGGUUACUUCAUCUUAAAAUGAAUGGCCCAUGGAAGAUCAAUAAAACCAAGGUACAAGAAUGCAAUCAUCAGUUUUUUUUUCAGUCCUUGUUCUGUAGUUUUAUGUAUAAAACAAAAAACGAAUUAUAUAUUUAAAUAUUUGAUAGAAUAUUCCACCCCAGAGAGAGGGACUGGAUUGUGGUCUGUUCAUGCUGAUGGUAAGCUGUGAACUACAGAUUCUGAGCAGUUAUGGUGAUGGCAAAGGUUUAGUUUAGUUUACAUGGAGUAUUUAGAUGAAUACGGUCUAGUGUUAUCUGUAUGGUACAGUACAAUAAAUUGGUGUCAGUAAAUUUCAAUAUUUGAAUUUUCUCAAUGGUAUUUGUUGUCUGUUUCAGUAUGCACUCUAUAUAGCCCUGGACUGGACAUUUGACUUUAGCCAGGUGAUGACCUCAAAUUUUCUUUUGGAAGGUUCUCCUUUUUUAUAUUUAUUUUUUCCAGAAGUUUUUUCAAAUGCAUUCUCAGUUUUUUAUUUUGUGUUUUAUCUGUUAGGAUGACAUCCCUCAGCUCCGAAGGUGGUUUGCUCUUCAUGUCACAUCCAAGGUACACACAACUGGUUAAUGACAUGAAAUGGAUUCUUCUGCAUUCAAACUACCCAGACACACUAAAUGUUUCCUCCUAGAAUGUUAAGCAGUAACAAAACUUUGGAGAGGCCACAAUGUUGAAUGUUUAGAAAUGUGUUGAAUGCUUUGAGUGGUUGGAAUUACUAAAAAGAUGCUCUACAAAUGGUCCAUUAACCUAACCUUUGAGUCUGUGUUUAGGUUGUCAGAGUCCACCAUCACCAAACAGCCAGCAAGUACGGAAACUGUGAUGGGUCAAGAUGACAGUGAUAAGGUAAAAACUUAUUUUUUGUGAAAAUAAUUAUAGUAAAUUUUAGAUUUACCCCACAAACACAGUUUAUUUUGUACUUUCAACAGAUCGAAGAGGAACUGAAGAGGAAGUUCGGAGAGGAACAUAAGGGACAUUGGUGUAGCAUGGUGCUGGGUUCAGAGCCACUGUGAGCUGUUCCAUGGAGAGGUGACAGAGCCUGAAUUUCUCCAGAUGGACGAAGAAAAACAGUCUAAUAUAAUCAAAGACUACCUGAAAGGAGAGACUGAGAAAGCAAGGGAUGCCUGUGUGUUUGUCUUUGACAAUCGCCGAGGAUAUGGAAACAUUCUUAUUAAAAUGUGUUGAUGAACAGCCAUGUUUCUGGGAGUUAUUUAAUUUAUAAUAAUUUAUUUACUCUACAUUGUUGAAUAUUAUUGUUUUGUGAAAUAAAUAUAACAAUACCCAGUGAAACAAGGGAUGUCUUUUUAUUGAUCUUUAUGCAUCCGUAGGACUUGGACACAUUUUUAUAUAUAUUUGUGUUGAUGGAAAAAGGCCCAAAAGUCAAUGCCAUGUUACUUACAUAAUCUAUCAAAGCAACCAAUGACUUAAGCCUAUGUAUGUGUAGCUUAGUCUGUAUAGAGAACCGUCAAUCCUAUCAUACAAAUGUAGUUGCUCUUUUUUGCGAGGUGAUAAACUUUUU
This 1954-nucleotide long non-coding RNA is filed under the name Carassius auratus (goldfish). RNAcentral describes it as "lncRNA (ENSCARG00000042781.1)". Lineage: Eukaryota; Metazoa; Chordata; Actinopteri; Cypriniformes; Cyprinidae. The record is from RNAcentral.